UAAAGAUCGAUGACCAGGAAGAGUACACAUGAAAAGAGGGUUACAGCGAGCCAAUGGCAGUGGGAGUUUGGCACUACUCGGCAUGUGGAAUGGGCCUGGGAGAUGCAGUCCGAGCCGCGCAAGCGGGGUAGGCGCUGCCGGAGACUCCCGCCGUUAUCAGGGAGCGGGUAUCGGAUAUUGUUUCCCGUACCUAGUGAGCUGGGCUGCUUGGCAGCCAAUUAGGGUGGCACCGCGAGUUAACCCCUCGUCCCUUAC
This 255-nucleotide non-coding RNA is filed under the name Thermosinus carboxydivorans. Its description in RNAcentral is "T-box sequence". It matches the Rfam family "T-box leader". From Rfam's summary of the family: Uncharged tRNA acts as the effector for transcription antitermination of genes in the T-box leader family. T-boxes are found upstream of many aminoacyl-tRNA synthetase genes and some amino acid biosynthetic genes usually in Gram-positive bacteria. The record is from RNAcentral. Lineage: Bacteria; Bacillati; Bacillota; Negativicutes; Selenomonadales; Sporomusaceae.